CCCCAACCUGGACCCCAUCCAAUAGGCUCGUGGUCCCUGAUGGUCCUGGACCACUGAUUUGAGGCCUUUCUGCUUCCUUUGAUUCAGUCUUUGGCAGAGACCCAGGAGCAGGAGUCCUUGAUGGCACCUGGCCCUUUCUAGUCACCGACAAGGGAAACCUGAGAAACCAUUCUCAGAAAUGGAACUAAAUUGACACAGCAUUUGUCUCCUCCAGAGGAUACAGCACCAAGGCGCCAUCUUGGAAGUAGACUGGAGCUCUUAGCAGACCAGAACCUGUGGGCAUAUUAUGAAUAUUCAGUGAAACAACGUGUGUGCUCACCAGGCAGGAAGAGCUCAGCAAAUGGUGGCUGGUCUGGAAAUUAUUGUCAUCACUAUAAUCCUCAUCGACAUCCUCAGCCUUAUUGUCAUCAUCAUCAACCUCAUCAGUGUCAUCAUCAGCCUCAUCAACGUCAUCAUCAGCCUCAUCACUGUCAUCAUCAGCCCUUUGUCAUCAUCAUCAUCCACCUUGCUGUUCUCUUCCUUGUUGACAUCAUUAUCCUCAUCCUCCUCAUCACCAUCAACAGCAUUAUUUUUAUUUUUUAUUCUUCCACCUGUAAGAGUUUCUUUUCCUCCCUCUUAUUGUUUUCCUCUUGGGAUGACUAGUGGUGAAGGAAGUGUCAGAGGCAAUGACCUCACAGCUGUCGUUGCCAUGGGUGACACCUCCCAGAAAGAGCUUAUUGGAACUUUCAGUCCAGGGGAGUUUCUGCUGUUCCAGGAUGGAGGAAAUGUUCAAGAACUGUGGAGCAUCUGAGAUUUUUUUCCUACUUUUGAUGUCCACCUAGUCAAAGUUCAGCCCUCCAGGAUCUACAGGUGACCAAGAGCCUGCUGUCUGGUUAUGGAAGGUCUCAGCUUUGGUUGUGUCAGUGAAUGAAGACCAGGACAGUCACAGUUGUAUGAGGAGGCUGGGGGCAUCCCUUACAGUCCCUUUGAGGGAGGUGCAGUCCUUGUAGCUGGAUGACCAUAGAGAACCAGCUUCUCUGCUGAACCAG
This 1028-nucleotide long non-coding RNA is filed under the name Homo sapiens (human). RNAcentral's name for it is "non-protein coding lnc-BUB3-4:15". The record is from RNAcentral. Lineage: Eukaryota; Metazoa; Chordata; Mammalia; Primates; Hominidae.